GACGAACGCUGGCGGCAGGCCUAACACAUGCAAGUCGAGCGGAGCGGCGGACGGGGGAGUAAUGCCUAGGAAUCUGCCUGUUCGUGGGGGAUAACGUCCGGAAACGGGCGCUAAUACCGCAUACUCUCAGCUGAGCCUAGGUCGGAUUGGUUAGUUGGUGGGGUAAAGGCCUACCAAGGCGACGAUCCGUAACUGGUCUGAGAGGAUGAUCAGUCACACUGGAACUGAGACACGGUCCAGACUCCUACGGGAGGCAGCAGUGGGGAAUAUUUGACAAUGGGCGAAAGCCUGAUCCAGCCAUGCCGCGUGUGUGAAGAAGGUCUUCGGAUUGUAAAGCACUGUAAGUUGGGAGGCGUUACCAACAGAAUAAGCACCGGCUAACUUCGUGCCAGCAGCCGCGGUAAUUC
Molecule: ribosomal RNA, 407 nt
Filed under: uncultured bacterium
Lineage: Bacteria
Description: partial 16S ribosomal RNA
Rfam family: Bacterial small subunit ribosomal RNA
Source: RNAcentral